AAACUAAAUGAAUUGACGGGGACCCGCACAAGCGGUGGAUGAUGUGGAUUAAUUCGAUGCAACGCGAAAACCUUACCUACCCUUGACAUGUCAGGAAUCCCGGAGAGAUUUGGGAGUGCUCGAAAGAGAGCCUGAACACAGGUGCUGCAUGGCUGUCGUCAGCUCGUGUCGUGAGAUGUUGGGUUAAGUCCCGCAACGAGCGCAACCCUUGUCAUUAAUUGCCAUCAUUCAGUUGGGCACUUUAAUGAGACUGCCGGUGACAAACCGGAGGAAGGUGGGGAUGACGUCAAGUCCUCAUGGCCCUUAUGGGUAGGGCUUCACACGUCAUACAAUGGUCGGUUCAGAGGGUUGCCAACCCGCGAGGGGGAGCCAAUCUCAGAAAGCCGAUCGUAGUCCGGAUCGCAGUCUGCAACUCGACUGCGUGAAGUCGGAAUCGCUAGUAAUCGCGGAUCAGCAUGUCGCGGUGAAUACGUUCCCGGGUCUUGUACACACCGCCCGUCACACCAUGGGAGCGGGUUCUGCCAGAAGUAGUUAGCCUAACCGCAAGGAGGGCGAUUACCACGGCAGGGUUCGUGACUGGGGUGAAGUCGUAACAAGGUAGCCGUAGGGGAACCUGCGGCUGGAUCACCUCCUUUCUG
This 638-nucleotide ribosomal RNA is filed under the name uncultured Propionivibrio sp. RNAcentral describes it as "bacterial SSU rRNA". It matches the Rfam family "Bacterial small subunit ribosomal RNA", at positions 898 to 1533 of the family's 1533-position model. Lineage: Bacteria; Pseudomonadati; Pseudomonadota; Betaproteobacteria; Rhodocyclales; Rhodocyclaceae. The record is from RNAcentral.